Thalassophryne amazonica is the source of this 255-nucleotide long non-coding RNA. RefSeq lists it as uncharacterized. The transcript has 2 exons. Lineage: Eukaryota; Metazoa; Chordata; Actinopteri; Batrachoidiformes; Batrachoididae. The record is from RefSeq and is a predicted model, not a curated record.
UUUAGCUACUUCCUUAGCGCUGUCGCGUCAGACGGCUUAUUAGUAUCUGCACAGUAAUAAAGUCAGUCGUGUUUUGUUGAAGGAGGUGGGACACAACCUUAUUUACUUAAAAUCCGACAUAGAGCCGAGCCAAAACCUUAAAAUCCCUCAUCACCAAGCCUGGGUUUUAGUCAAUUUGACAGGUGAAAUACAAACUGCAGGUUGUUCGUGUAUUGCAGGUCAAGGCAGAUCUUGCAGCCACGCUGCUGCCAUGCU